AACGAACGCUGGCGGCAGGCUUAACACAUGCAAGUCGAACGCAUGCCUUCGGGCAUGAGUGGCAGACGGGUGAGUAACGCGUGGGAACCUACCCCUUGGUACGGGAUAGCUCCGGGAAACUGGAGAUAAUACCGUAUGUGUCCUGAGGGACAAAGAUUCAUCGCCAAGGGAUGGGCCCGCGUCGGAUUAGCUAGUUGGUGAGGUAACGGCCUACCAAGGCGACGAUCCGUAGCUGGUCUAAGAGGAUGAUCAGCCACAUUGGGACUGAGACACGGCCCAAACUCCUACGGGAGGCAGCAGUGGGGAAUAUUGGACAAUGGGGGAAAGCCUGAUCCAGCCACGCCGCGUGAGUGAUGAAGGCCCUAGGGUUGUAAAGCUCUUUCACCGGUGACGAUAAUGACGGUAACCGGAGAAGAAGCCCCGGCUAACUUCGUG
RNAcentral lists this ribosomal RNA (435 nucleotides) under uncultured bacterium. RNAcentral's name for it is "partial 16S ribosomal RNA". It matches the Rfam family "Bacterial small subunit ribosomal RNA", at positions 29 to 507 of the family's 1533-position model. The record is from RNAcentral.